ACUGUAGUCUGCAACCCGACUACACGAAGCUGGAAUCGCUAGUAAUCGCGAAUCAGAACGUCGCGGUGAAUACGUUCCCGGGUCUUGUACACACCGCCCGUCACACCAUGGGAGUCGGGAAUGCCCGAAGCCGGUGACCCAACCGAAAGGAGGGAGCCGUCGAAGGCAGGUCUGAUGACUGGGGUGAAGUCGUAACAAGGUAGC
RNAcentral lists this ribosomal RNA (204 nucleotides) under uncultured bacterium. RNAcentral's name for it is "partial 16S ribosomal RNA". It matches the Rfam family "Bacterial small subunit ribosomal RNA", at positions 1297 to 1500 of the family's 1533-position model. The record is from RNAcentral.